This 484-nucleotide ribosomal RNA is filed under the name uncultured bacterium. Its description in RNAcentral is "partial 16S ribosomal RNA". It matches the Rfam family "Bacterial small subunit ribosomal RNA", at positions 30 to 507 of the family's 1533-position model. The record is from RNAcentral.
AUUGAACGCUGGCGGCAGGCCUAACACAUGCAAGUCGAGCGGAUGAAGGGAGCUUGCUCCUGGAUUCAGCGGCGGACGGGUGAGUAAUGCCUAGGAAUCUGCCUGGUUGUGGGGGAUAACGUCCGGAAACGGGCGCUAAUACCGCAUAAGUCCUGAGGGCGAACGUGGGGGAUCUUCGGACCUUACGCCCUCAGAUGAGCCUAGGUCGGAUUAGCUAGUUGGUGGGGUAAAGGCCUACCAAGGCGACGAUCCGUAACUGGUCUGAGAGGAUGAUCAGUCACACUGGAACUGAGACACGGUCCAGACUCCUACGGGAGGCAGCAGUGGGGAAUAUUGGACAAUGGGCGAAAGCCUGAUCCAGCCAUGCCGCGUGUGUGAAGAAGGUCUUCGGAUUGUAAAGCACUUUAAGUUGGGAGGAAGGGCAGUAAGUUAAUACCUUGCUGUUUUGACGUUACCAACAGAAUAAGCACCGGCUAACUUCGUG